CAGGAUAUAUACAUUACAAGGUUGUACAUCAUGCAUCACCCAAACCAUGGACAGCACCACUGCCCUGGUCACAAUCACCCAGGUCAUGGUCCUGGGUGUCAUCCCCCUCCACACGGACAUCCUGGCCACCACGAUCCUCAUGGCCACCACGAUCCUCAUGGCCACCACAAUCCUCCUGGUCACCAUGGACCAGGGCCACAUGGCCACCACGGGCCAGAUCUACAUGGCCAUCACGGACCAGGGCCACAUGGCCACCAUGACCAUCAUGGAAAGCAUUAGCAUAUGAAAUGAUAAAGAACUGUCUCGGUAUGCUGUGCAGGACAAUGAAUAUGACUUUGAAUCAACUUUUACCGACCCAUGCAGAAUACAGAGCGCAUUUACUGUACAUUAUAUUCAUAAAUCUCUCAGAAGU
This is a long non-coding RNA of Pseudophryne corroboree (corroboree frog), 412 nucleotides long. RefSeq lists it as uncharacterized. The transcript has 3 exons. NCBI's taxonomy places the organism in Eukaryota, Metazoa, Chordata, Amphibia, Anura, Myobatrachidae. The record is from RefSeq and is a predicted model, not a curated record.